Molecule: long non-coding RNA, 209 nt
Filed under: Elaeis guineensis (African oil palm)
Lineage: Eukaryota; Viridiplantae; Streptophyta; Magnoliopsida; Arecales; Arecaceae
Description: long non-coding RNA (EGUI_LNC008008)
Source: RNAcentral
GUUGGAUUGGGGUGAUUGGUUGAUGAACACCGAAAUAGAGGUCCGAGUUUAGCUUCUUCUUCUUUUUUAAAUUUAUUUUUUAUGUUUUCUUGCUUUCUACUUUUAGACUAGCCUACUAAUUUAUAUUUUAAGCCUUUCAAGUUCUCCAUUAUUGCCUGCUUUCUACUUAUAGUUUGGAUUCAAGCCUCUUGGUCUAGCCUUCACACCAG